GGAUGUGAAAGCGAUCUGGAUGUGACAUCUGUCUCUCCACUGAUGCCAGGGUUGAUUUAGCAGAUCUGUCUGGCGAAGUGAGUGUUCCCUUCCUUUCUCACUGCUCCAUGUGAGUCCCUCCUAAAAGUCCUCAGUUGACAAGGAAAAGCACCCUGAUAGAGGGAUCAUUUCAUUUCUUGGGUCAAGAGUAGAUGAGUAGCUGUGGUGCCCUACCAGAACCUCCAAACAAACUCUUUAGAAUAGAGAAAAUAACCUAGAAGAAAAUAAAGAUAUUUUAGAUAAAAGACUGAGAAAUAGACUUAAGAUCAUACUUU
Unclassified non-coding RNA from Cavia porcellus (domestic guinea pig), 314 nucleotides. Its record names the gene 7SK. It matches the Rfam family "7SK RNA". From Rfam's summary of the family: 7SK was discovered as an abundant small nuclear RNA in the mid-70s but a possible function has only recently been suggested. Two independent studies have found that 7SK RNA binds the CDK9/cyclin T complex (known as elongation factor P-TEFb). The record is from Ensembl. Lineage: Eukaryota; Metazoa; Chordata; Mammalia; Rodentia; Caviidae.